CUAUCAUGCCCCAUUGUUUGUACAGCAAGUCCAGAUAAGUUAUUGCCUUCCUCAGUGAAGGGUGGUUAUACACAUGGCAUUUCUGUCUCGCACACUCGUAUUGAGGGUGGUGCCAAGGCUGUCCUAACGAGUGACAACCUGGCAUUACAGCAUGUUCGAGUUAUUUAUGCUCGAACGGCUCUGUUCUUUUGGUUUGAUGUUGAAUACAAG
This 210-nucleotide unclassified non-coding RNA is filed under the name Hevea brasiliensis (rubber tree). Lineage: Eukaryota; Viridiplantae; Streptophyta; Magnoliopsida; Malpighiales; Euphorbiaceae. The record is from RNAcentral.